AUGCUGGAGGUAUCAGAAGUGCGAAUGCUGACAUAAGUAACGAUAAAGCGGGUGAAAAGCCCGCUCGCCGGAAGACCAAGGGUUCCUGUCCAACGUUAAUCGGGGCAGGGUGAGUCGACCCCUAAGGCGAGGCCGAAAGGCGUAGUCGAUGGGAAACAGGUUAAUAUUCCUGUACUUGGUGUUACUGCGAAGGGGGGACGGAGAAGGCUAUGUUGGCCGGGCGACGGUUGUCCCGGUUUAAGCGUGUAGGCUGGUUUUCCAGGCAAAUCCGGAAAAUCAAGGCUGAGGCGUGAUGACGAGGCACUACGGUGCUGAAGCAACAAAUGCCCUGCUUCCAGGAAAAGCCUCUAAGCAUCAGGUAACAUCAAAUCGUACCCCAAACCGACACAGGUGGUCAGGUAGAGAAUACCAAGGCGCUUGAGAGAACUCGGGUGAAGGAACUAGGCAAAAUGGUGCCGUAACUUCGGGAGAAGGCACGCUGAUAUGUAGGUGAAGUCCCUCGCGGAUGGAGCUGAAAUCAGUCGAAGAUACCAGCUGGCUGCAACUGUUUAUUAAAAACACAGCACUGUGCAAACACGAAAGUGGACGUAUACGGUGUGACGCCUGCCCGGUGCCGGAAGGUUAAUUGAUGGGGUUAGCGCAAGCGAAGCUCUUGAUCGAAGCCCCGGUAAACGGCGGCCGUAACUAUAACGGUCCUAAGGUAGCGAAAUUCCUUGUCGGGUAAGUUCCGACCUGCACGAAUGGCGUAAUGAUGGCCAGGCUGUCUCCACCCGAGACUCAGUGAAAUUGAACUCGCUGUGAAGAUGCAGUGUACCCGCGGCAAGACGGAAAGACCCCGUGAACCUUUACUAUAGCUUGACACUGAACAUUGAGCCUUGAUGUGUAGGAUAGGUGGGAGGCUUUGAAGUGUGGACGCCAGUCUGCAUGGAGCCGACCUUGAAAUACCACCCUUUAAUGUUUGAUGUUCUAACGUUGACCCGUAAUCCGGGUUGCGGACAGUGUCUGGUGGGUAGUUUGACUGGGGCGGUCUCCUCCUAAAGAGUAACGGAGGAGCACGAAGGUUGGCUAAUCCUGGUCGGACAUCAGGAGGUUAGUGCAAUGGCAUAAGCCAGCUUGACUGCGAGCGUGACGGCGCGAGCAGGUGCGAAAGCAGGUCAUAGUGAUCCGGUGGUUCUGAAUGGAAGGGCCAUCGCUCAACGGAUAAAAGGUACUCCGGGGAUAACAGGCUGAUACCGCCCAAGAGUUCAUAUCGACGGCGGUGUUUGGCACCUCGAUGUCGGCUCAUCACAUCCUGGGGCUGAAGUAGGUCCCAAGGGUAUGGCUGUUCGCCAUUUAAAGUGGUACGCGAGCUGGGUUUAGAACGUCGUGAGACAGUUCGGUCCCUAUCUGCCGUGGGCGCUGGAGAACUGAGGGGGGCUGCUCCUAGUACGAGAGGACCGGAGUGGACGCAUCACUGGUGUUCGGGUUGUCAUGCCAAUGGCACUGCCCGGUAGCUAAAUGCGGAAGAGAUAAGUGCUGAAAGCAUCUAAGCACGAAACUUGCCCCGAGAUGAGUUCUCCCUGACUCCUUGAGAGUCCUGAAGGAACGUUGAAGACGACGACGUUGAUAGGCCGGGUGUGUAAGCGCAGCGAUGCGUUGAGCUAACCGGUACUAAUGAACCGUGAGGCUUAACCUUACAACGCCGAAG
This 1687-nucleotide ribosomal RNA is filed under the name Escherichia coli. RNAcentral's name for it is "bacterial LSU rRNA". It matches the Rfam family "Bacterial large subunit ribosomal RNA", at positions 1270 to 2925 of the family's 2925-position model. The record is from RNAcentral. Lineage: Bacteria; Pseudomonadati; Pseudomonadota; Gammaproteobacteria; Enterobacterales; Enterobacteriaceae.